GAUGCACCUCGUUAGGCGAGGCUCCUGGAUGAACACAGGCCACUGAUCUGACGACGUCGAGAGACGCCCAAGAUCAGGACAGAUCUCCCCGGCUUAAGGGGUGAUCCCAAGUGGCUUCCCGGCUGUACGGGGAUACGUCGCCCAGUGCCGAAGCUCAACGUGUGAGGGCACCG
This 173-nucleotide small RNA is filed under the name Mycobacterium sp. RNAcentral describes it as "Magnesium sequence". It matches the Rfam family "M-box riboswitch aptamer (ykoK leader)". Rfam says of the family: M-box riboswitch, also know as ykoK leader is described as a metaloregulatory RNA that sense divalent metals and function as a genetic control element of genes related to divalent metal transport in bacteria. It was first reported upstream of the B.subtilis ykoK gene and genes with related functions in other bacteria. The record is from RNAcentral. RNAcentral also lists the same sequence under 1 other name. Lineage: Bacteria; Bacillati; Actinomycetota; Actinomycetes; Mycobacteriales; Mycobacteriaceae.